CCCUGGUUAGCUCAGUUGGUAGAGCGCUCCACCUGUAAUGGAGAGGUCCCGGGUUCGAUACCCGGAGCAGGCG
This is a non-coding RNA of Ixodes scapularis (black-legged tick), 73 nucleotides long. The record is from Rfam. NCBI's taxonomy places the organism in Eukaryota, Metazoa, Arthropoda, Arachnida, Ixodida, Ixodidae.